ACGGUCCUAAGGUAGCGAAAUUCCUUGUCGGGUAAGUUCCGACCCGCACGAAAGGCGUAACGAUUUGGGCACUGUCUCAACGAGAGACUCGGUGAAAUCAUAGUACCUGUGAAGAUGCAGGUUACCCGCGACAGGACGGAAAGACCCCGUGGAGCUUUACUGUAGCCUGAUAUUGAAAUUCGGCACAGCUUGUACAGGAUAGGUAGGAGCCUUUGAAACGUGAGCGCUAGCUUACGUGGAGGCGUUGGUGGGAUACUACCCUAGCUGUGUUGGCUUUCUAACCCGCACCACUUAUCGUGGUGGGAGACAGUGUCAGGCGGGCAGUUUGACUGGGGCGGUCGCCUCCUAAAAGGUAACGGAGGCGCUCAAAGGUUCCCUCAGAAUGGUUGGAAAUCAUUCAUAGAGUGUAAAGGCAUAAGGGAGCUUGACUGCGAGACCUACAAGUCGAGCAGGGUCGAAAGACGGACUUAGUGAUCCGGUGGUUCCGCAUGGAAGGGCCAUCGCUCAACGGAUAAAAGCUACCCCGGGGAUAACAGGCUUAUCUCCCCCAAGAGUUCACAUCGACGGGGAGGUUUGGCACCUCGAUGUCGGCUCAUCGCAUCCUGGGGCUGUAGUCGGUCCCAAGGGUUGGGCUGUUCGCCCAUUAAAGCGGUACGCGAGCUGGGUUCAGAACGUCGUGAGACAGUUCGGUCCCUAUCCGUCGUGGGCGUAGGAAAUUUGAGAGGAGCUGUCCUUAGUACGAGAGGACCGGGAUGGACAUACCUCUGGUGUACCAGUUGUCGUGCCAACGGCAUAGCUGGGUAGCUAUGUAUGGACGGGAUAAGUGCUGAAAGCAUCUAAGCAUGAAGCCCCCCUCAAGAUGAGAUUUCCCAACUUCGGUUAUAAGAUCCCUCGAAGAUGACGAGGUUAAUAGGUUCGAGGUGGAAGCGUGGUGACACGUGGAGCUGACGAAUACUAAUCGAUCGAAGACUUAAUCAA
RNAcentral lists this ribosomal RNA (978 nucleotides) under metagenome. Its description in RNAcentral is "bacterial LSU rRNA". It matches the Rfam family "Bacterial large subunit ribosomal RNA", at positions 1945 to 2925 of the family's 2925-position model. The record is from RNAcentral. RNAcentral also lists the same sequence under 2 other names.